RNAcentral lists this ribosomal RNA (1435 nucleotides) under human oral metagenome. RNAcentral describes it as "bacterial LSU rRNA". It matches the Rfam family "Bacterial large subunit ribosomal RNA", at positions 1371 to 2681 of the family's 2925-position model. The record is from RNAcentral.
CGCCCUGGGUGAGUCGGGACCUAAGGCGAGGCCGACAGGCGUAGUCGAUGGAUGACGGGUUGAUAUUCCCGUACCCGUGUGCGUGCGACAAGUGAUGAAUCUUAUGGUACUAACCACCCGCUUGUUUCUGCUGAUCUUUUUGGUUGGUGGUUUCAGGUGCGUGGGAUCUUCGUGGGUAGUAGUCAAGUGAUGGGGUGACGCAGAGUGGUAGCUAGGCUUCCUUAUUGGAUUGGAGUGCAAGCGUGUGGCCUGUGGGGUUGGGAAAUCCGCCCCACAUAUUAAGGGUGAGGCGUGAUGCGGACACCAUUUGUGGUGGUAGUUAGUGUGCCUGUGCUGCCGAGAAAAGCCUCUAGCGAGUGCGUGCAUGGCCCGUACCGGAAACCGACACAGGUGGUCAGGUAGAGAAUACUAAGGCGUUCGGGUGAACUGUGGUUAAGGAACUCGGCAAAAUGCCCCCGUAACUUCGGGAGAAGGGGGACCAUUACUGGUUGCUGACAGCAUGAUGGCUGGUGGUGGUCGCAGAGGAGAGAGGGAAGCGACUGUUUAUUAAAAACACAGGUCCGUGCGAAAACGUGGAAGUUGAGGUAUACGGACUGACGCCUGCCCGGUGCUGGAAGGUUAAGAGGACCCGUGAGCACGCCUUAUGUGUGUGCGAGGCGGAGAAUUGAAGCCCCAGUAAACGGCGGUGGUAACUAUAACCAUCCUAAGGUAGCGAAAUUCCUUGUCGGGUAAGUUCCGACCUGCACGAAUGGCGUAACGACUCCCCCGCUGUCUCCACCACGGGCCCGGCGAAAUUGCAUUACGAGUAAAGAUGCUCGUUGCGCGCAGAAGGACGGAAAGACCCCGGGACCUUCACUGCAGCUUGGUAUUGGCGCCCGGUUCGGCUCGUGCAGGAUAGGUGGGAGACUGUGAGGCCGCCGCGUCAGCGGUGCGCGGAGUCGUCGUUGAGAUACCACUCCGGCCGUGUCGUGCGCCUGAACCUGGGCCCGUGAUCCGGGUCAGGGACAGUGCCUGGCGGGUAGUUCAACUGGGGCGGUUGCCUCCCAAAGGGUAACGGAGGCGCUCAAGGGUCCCCUCAGCCUGGUCGGCAACCAGGUGUCGAGUGCAAGUGCACAAGGGGGCUUGACUGCGAGACCGACGGGUCGGGCAGGUGCGAAAGCAGGAACUAGUGAUCCGGCGGCUCCGUGUGGACGGGCCGUCGCUCAACGGAUAAAAGGUACCCCGGGGAUAACAGGCUGAUCCUGCCCAAGAGUCCAUAUCGACGGCAUGGUUUGGCACCUCGAUGUCGGCUCGUCGCAUCCUGGGGCUGGAGCAGGUCCCAAGGGUUGGGCUGUUCGCCCAUUAAAGCGGUACGCGAGCUGGGUUCAGAACGUCGUGAGACAGUUCGGUCCCUAUCUGUUGUGGGCGUUGGAAAUUUGAGGAGAGCUGCCCCUAG